GCCAUCUCUUCCGUGACUUCCAAUAAAAUUAGAAUGAUACAGAGAAGAUUAGCAUGGCCCCUGCACAAGGAUGACAAACACAAAUCGAGAAAUGGUCCAAAUUUUU
This 106-nucleotide small nuclear RNA is filed under the name Amborella trichopoda. Lineage: Eukaryota; Viridiplantae; Streptophyta; Magnoliopsida; Amborellales; Amborellaceae. The record is from RNAcentral.